CCUACGGGUGGCAGCAGUGGGGAAUAUUGCACAAUGGAGGAAACCCUGAUGCAGCGACGCCGCGUGAGUGAAGAAGUAUUUCGGUAUGUAAAGCUCUAUCAGCAGGGAAGUAAACGACGGUACCUGACUCAGGAAGCCCGGCUAACUCGGUGCCAGAAGGCCUCGUAACACGGAAGGGGCCAGCGUUAUCCGGAUUUACUGGGUGUUAAGGGGGUGUAGUCGGUAGGGCAAGUCAGAAGUGAAAUCCCAUGGCUUAACCAUGGAACUGCAUUGUAAACUGUGCAACUAGAGUAAAGGCGAGGUAAGCGGAAUGCCUAGUGUAGCGGUGAAAUGCGUAGAGAUUAGGAGGAACACCAGUGGCGAAGGCGGCUUACUGGACUGUAACUGACGUUGAGGCUCGAAAGCGUGGGGAGCAAACAGGAUUAGAUACCCGUGUAGUC
RNAcentral lists this ribosomal RNA (440 nucleotides) under uncultured bacterium. RNAcentral describes it as "partial 16S ribosomal RNA". It matches the Rfam family "Bacterial small subunit ribosomal RNA", at positions 338 to 795 of the family's 1533-position model. The record is from RNAcentral.